UACGAAGGGGGCUAGCGUUGCUCGGAAUCACUGGGCGUAAAGCGCACGUAGGCGGCUUUUUAAGUCAGGGGUGAAAUCCUGGAGCUCAACUCCAGAACUGCCUUUGAUACUGAGAAGCUUGAGUCCGGGAGAGGUGAGUGGAACUGCGAGUGUAGAGGUGAAAUUCGUAGAUAUUCGGAAGAACACCAGUGGCGAAGGCGACUCGCUGGACAAGUAUUGACGCUGAGGUGCGAAAGCGUGGGGAGCAAACAGG
RNAcentral lists this ribosomal RNA (253 nucleotides) under uncultured bacterium. RNAcentral describes it as "partial 16S ribosomal RNA". It matches the Rfam family "Bacterial small subunit ribosomal RNA", at positions 524 to 776 of the family's 1533-position model. The record is from RNAcentral.